UGGGGAAUAUUGCACAAUGGGCGCAAGCCUGAUGCAGCCAUGCCGCGUGUAUGAAGAAGGCCUGCGGGUUGUAAAGUACUUUCAGCGGGGAGGAAGGGAGUAAAGUUAAUACCUUUGCCCAUUGACGUUACCCGCAGAAGAAGCACCGGCUAACUCCGUGCCAGCAGCCGCGGUAAUACGGAGGGUGCAAGCGUUAAUCGGAAUUACUGGGCGUAAAGCGCACGCAGGCGGUUUGUUAAGUCAGAUGUGAAAUCCCCGGGCUCAACCUGGGAGCUGCAUCUGAUACUGGCAAGCGUGAGUCUCGUAGAGGGGGGUAGAAUUACAGGUGUAGCGGUGAAAUGCGUAGAGAUCUGGAGGAAUACCGGUGGCGAAGGCGGCCCCCUGGACGAAGACUGACGCUCAGGUGCGAAAGCGUGGGGGGCAAACAGG
RNAcentral lists this ribosomal RNA (429 nucleotides) under Chloroflexota bacterium. Its description in RNAcentral is "Chloroflexi bacterium partial 16S ribosomal RNA". It matches the Rfam family "Bacterial small subunit ribosomal RNA", at positions 355 to 776 of the family's 1533-position model. Lineage: Bacteria; Bacillati; Chloroflexota. The record is from RNAcentral.